ACUUAAAUUGAAGAGUUUGAUCAUGGCUCAGAUUGAACGCUGGCGGCAGGCCUAACACAUGCAAGUCGAGCGGUAGCACAGAGAGCUUGCUCUCGGGUGACGAGCGGCGGACGGGUGAGUAAUGUCUGGGAAACUGCCUGAUGGAGGGGGAUAACUACUGGAAACGGUAGCUAAUACCGCAUAACGUCGCAAGACCAAAGUGGGGGACCUUCGGGCCUCAUGCCAUCAGAUGUGCCCAGAUGGGAUUAGCUGGUAGGUGGGGUAACGGCUCACCUAGGCGACGAUCCCUAGCUGGUCUGAGAGGAUGACCAGCCACACUGGAACUGAGACACGGUCCAGACUCCUACGGGAGGCAGCAGUGGGGAAUAUUGCACAAUGGGCGCAAGCCUGAUGCAGCCAUGCCGCGUGUGUGAAGAAGGCCUUCGGGUUGUAAAGCACUUUCAGCGGGGAGGAAGGCGAUAAGGUUAAUAACCUUGUCGAUUGACGUUACCCGCAGAAGAAGCACCGGCUAACUCCGUGCCAGCAGCCGCGGUAAUACGGAGGGUGCAAGCGUUAAUCGGAAUUACUGGGCGUAAAGCGCACGCAGGCGGUCUGUCAAGUCGGAUGUGAAAUCCCCGGGCUCAACCUGGGAACUGCAUUCGAAACUGGCAGGCUAGAGUCUUGUAGAGGGGGGUAGAAUUCCAGGUGUAGCGGUGAAAUGCGUAGAGAUCUGGAGGAAUACCGGUGGCGAAGGCGGCCCCCUGGACAAAGACUGACGCUCAGGUGCGAAAGCGUGGGGAGCAAACAGGAUUAGAUACCCUGGUAGUCCACGCUGUAAACGAUGUCGAUUUGGAGGUUGUGCCCUUGAGGCGUGGCUUCCGGAGCUAACGCGUUAAAUCGACCGCCUGGGGAGUACGGCCGCAAGGUUAAAACUCAAAUGAAUUGACGGGGGCCCGCACAAGCGGUGGAGCAUGUGGUUUAAUUCGAUGCAACGCGAAGAACCUUACCUGGUCUUGACAUCCACAGAACUUUCCAGAGAUGGAUUGGUGCCUUCGGGAACUGUGAGACAGGUGCUGCAUGGCUGUCGUCAGCUCGUGUUGUGAAAUGUUGGGUUAAGUCCCGCAACGAGCGCAACCCUUAUCCUUUGUUGCCAGCGGUUAGGCCGGGAACUCAAAGGAGACUGCCAGUGAUAAACUGGAGGAAGGUGGGGAUGACGUCAAGUCAUCAUGGCCCUUACGACCAGGGCUACACACGUGCUACAAUGGCAUAUACAAAGAGAAGCGACCUCGCGAGAGCAAGCGGACCUCAUAAAGUAUGUCGUAGUCCGGAUUGGAGUCUGCAACUCGACUCCAUGAAGUCGGAAUCGCUAGUAAUCGUAGAUCAGAAUGCUACGGUGAAUACGUUCCCGGGCCUUGUACACACCGCCCGUCACACCAUGGGAGUGGGUUGCAAAAGAAGUAGGUAGCUUAACCUUCGGGAGGGCGCUUACCACUUUGUGAUUCAUGACUGGGGUGAAGUCGUAACAAGGUAACCGUAGGGGAACCUGCGGUUGGAUCACCUCCUUACCUUAAAGAA
This 1554-nucleotide ribosomal RNA is filed under the name Klebsiella pneumoniae. Its description in RNAcentral is "bacterial SSU rRNA". It matches the Rfam family "Bacterial small subunit ribosomal RNA". Lineage: Bacteria; Pseudomonadati; Pseudomonadota; Gammaproteobacteria; Enterobacterales; Enterobacteriaceae. RNAcentral also lists the same sequence under 1 other name. The record is from RNAcentral.